CCUAGGACCAUUCACUCCAAUGUGGUAUGAGAACAUUUAUUUUCUAAUUGUUCUUGGUUUGAUGUCAAGGCGUACUCAUUCUUGAAAUCUAUGUGGCUUUUUCAGAAACACUAUGUUCCAAGAAGUUUAUUCAAGAGAGCUGGGCAUAUAGGUCCGUCAUGACUGGCAAUGCCCUACAGGACGGCUUGGUUGAUGCAAUCCGUGUAUCCCUCACGGAUCCACUUGGAACUCAUGCUGCAGACCAUCAAUUAGGUGUGGAUAACCAUACUCAAGUCUGGUAGUGCGAUGGCUCCUGUAGAACUAAUCUCUGCACAAUUUGUUUCAAUGAGCACCCAGGUAAUUCAGAUGCUCCAUUUGAUUCUUGGACACUCUCCCUGCUGCUCAUUUCACAACUACGUCUCCAUCAUAACUUCAAGCUGUUGUUUUCAAACAGUAAGGGAGAACGCUACUGAUACAGUAUAUAUUGGACAUUGAAUUGGUGCUCCAUGGAGCCAGGGCACCAUGAUUUAUACACAAAUCCAAACCAAAUUUGGGUAUACUUUUUCUGGAAAUUUUAGUUCUGGGGUAUAAUACCUGAUUAUUAUAGAAUUCAAGUACUCUACAUCUGGGAUAUUGCUGUGUAUAUCUAUUUCUGCAUACCAUACUGCUUGUAUAUAAAAUCAACAUAUAUCUGCAGUCAAACAAUCAUUA
This is a long non-coding RNA of Triticum aestivum (bread wheat), 690 nucleotides long. RefSeq lists it as uncharacterized. The transcript is spliced from 3 exons. The record is from RefSeq and is a predicted model, not a curated record. Lineage: Eukaryota; Viridiplantae; Streptophyta; Magnoliopsida; Poales; Poaceae.